Molecule: ribosomal RNA, 253 nt
Filed under: uncultured bacterium
Lineage: Bacteria
Description: partial 16S ribosomal RNA
Rfam family: Bacterial small subunit ribosomal RNA
Source: RNAcentral
UACGUAGGGUGCGAGCGUUAAUCGGAAUUACUGGGCGUAAAGCGUGUGUAGGCGGUUUUGUUAGUCGCUGGUUAAAGCUCCCGGCUUAACCGGGAAGAUGCCAGCGAAACGGCAAAACUCGAGGAGGUGAGGGGUGCGUGGAACUCAUGGUGUAGGGGUGAAAUCCGUUGGUAUCAUGGGGAACACCAAAAGCGAAGGCAGCGCACUGGCACCUUACUGACGCUGAGACACGAAAGCGUGGGGAUCAAACGGG